RNAcentral lists this ribosomal RNA (423 nucleotides) under Triticum aestivum (bread wheat). RNAcentral describes it as "partial small subunit ribosomal RNA". Lineage: Eukaryota; Viridiplantae; Streptophyta; Magnoliopsida; Poales; Poaceae. The record is from RNAcentral.
AUCCUUGCUAUCCAAUCAGACUGGGGCGGAGAGUAUGAGAAAUUAAAUUCUUUCUUUCAAACUCUCGGCAUCUCUCACCAUGUGUCAUGCCUUCACGCUCGCCAACAAAAUGGUUCUGCUGAACGCAAGCACAUGCACACUGUUGAGGUCGGUUUAGCUCUUUUAGUUGGCACCUCCAUGCCUCUCAAAUUCUGGGAUGAAGCUUUUCUCUCUGCCGUUCACAUCAUUAACAUGCUUCCUAGUCGUGUUAUCAAUAAUGAAACUCCAGUAGAAAGGCUACUCCACACCAAGCCUGACUACACGUCUCUUUGUGUUUUGGGUGUGCAUGUUGGCCAAAUCUUCGUCCAUAUAAUCAACGCAAACUUAUGUUUCGCUCAAAGCAAUGUGUGUUUCUUGGGUAUAGCACUCAACACAAAGGUGUAA